RNAcentral lists this ribosomal RNA (575 nucleotides) under uncultured fungus. Its description in RNAcentral is "eukaryotic LSU rRNA". The stretch from base 216 to 369 matches the Rfam family "5.8S ribosomal RNA". The record is from RNAcentral. Lineage: Eukaryota; Fungi.
UUGGUCAUUUAGAGGAAGUAAAAGUCGUAACAAGGUCUCCGUUGGUGAACCAGCGGAGGGAUCAUUACCGAGUUUACAACUCCCAAACCCCUGUGAACAUACCAAUUGUUGCCUCGGCGGAUCAGCCCGCUCCCGGUAAAACGGGACGGCCCGCCCGAGGACCCCUAAACUCUGUUUUUAGUGGAACUUCUGAGUAAAACAAACAAAUAAAUCAAAACUUUCGACAACGGAUCUCUUGGUUCUGGCAUCGAUGAAGAACGCAGCAAAAUGCGAUAAGUAAUGUGAAUUGCAGAAUUCAGUGAAUCAUCGAAUCUUUGAACGCACAUUGCGCCCGCCAGUAUUCUGGCGGGCAUGCCUGUUCGAGCGUCAUUUCAACCCUCAAGCUCAGCUUUGUGUUGGGACUCGCGGUAACCCGCGUUCCCCAAAUCGAUUGGCGGUCACGUCGAGCUUCCAUAGCGUAGUAAUCAUACACCUCGUUACUGGUAAUCGUCGCGGCCACGCCGUAAAACCCCAACUUCUGAAUGUUGACCUCGGAUCAGGUAGGAAUACCCGCUGAACUUAAGCAUAUCAAUAAG